This is a long non-coding RNA of Siniperca chuatsi (mandarin fish), 2321 nucleotides long. RefSeq lists it as uncharacterized. Lineage: Eukaryota; Metazoa; Chordata; Actinopteri; Centrarchiformes; Sinipercidae. The record is from RefSeq and is a predicted model, not a curated record. The transcript has 2 exons.
UCACAGUUGGAAAAUUCACUAAACCAAACAAUAUAUUUGUGAUCACAGGCAUGCUCAGUUAUGUUUUCUAUCUGUUACUCUAUUCUCAAAAUAAAAAUACGCAAGGAUGACAUUACAAAUCACGAUGCAUUUUAUCUAAUGUAAAGAACAGACAUCCAUCUGGAGUGGUACAGUAUAGUCCUGCAACUGAAAAGGCACAGUUACAGAGUUUUGUAAAAAUGGAAAAGCUCAAUUUUCUUGGUAUCACUGUAGUUUACAACAAGACAAAUAAACACACUGCUGUUUUGUACCCAGUGGUGGAAAGUAACAUACAUAAUUUACAACAGAACAAUAUAAGUUAUUAACAUUAUUACCAUGUUCGUUGAAAUGGUCAACAUGAAACAUUUUUUCUAUAAAUAAUUGAUAAAAAAAAAAAGAUCAGCAGAAUCACACUUGGAUAAUUCACUAAACCAAACAAUAUAUUUGUGAUCACAGGCAUGCUCAGUUAUGUUUUCUAUCUGUUACUCUAUUCUGAAAAUAAAAAUACGCAAGGAUGACAUUACAAAUCACGAUGCAUUUUAUCUAAUGCAAAUAACAGAUAUCUAUCUGGAGUGGUACAGUAUAGUCCUGCAACUGAAAAGGCACAGUUACAGAGUUUUGUAAAAAUGGAAAAGCUCAAUUUUCUUGGUAUCACUGUAGUUUACAACAAGACAAAUAAACACCCACACACUGCUGUUUUGUACCCAGUGGUGGAAAGUAACAAAGUACAUUCACCUAAGUACUUUACUUAAGUACAAUUUUGAGGUACAUAUAUUUCACUUACUUCUAUUUUAUGCUACUUUCCCUCUGACAUAGACUCCUUUAUGGAAAAUUUGAAUAUUCCAACUUUUAACCAGGAUUAUCGUGCUACCCUGGAAAGCCCUUAUUCAGAAUGCGAUACUGAACAGGCAAUUAGUUCUCUACAAAGUGGAAGAGCCCCUGGCCUUAAUGGGUUUACAUGUACAUUUUACAAGGCAUUAUCUACUAUGUGCAGUAUUUUCCGAAAUACACGCUCAACUCAGGCUACAAUCUCAGUAGAUAGAUCAGAGAAUGUGAAGUCGAUAACAGAAACAUUAGCAAUGUGUAAUGCUUCUGACAUCACUAGACUCUGACACAUGACUCUGUGACAUGCUGGGUGAAGUCUAGGUUCUCAAGUAAAGUUUUGAAUUCACGUGUCAAGAAGUAUAAAAUUAUUGAUAGAUAGCUGAAUACAUUUAUAGCGGCCACUGGGUCUAGGCACGCUAAAACUUCCAUAUCUGGAGGACAUAGUUCAGCAAGCUGGCAAUAAUCAUUUGGCUUCAACCAUGUCUCAGUUAAAAACAUAAAAUCAAGAUCUCUGGAAGUGAUAAAAUCAUUUAGGAUAAAAGUUUUGUUGGUAAGUGAUCUCAUAUUUAAAAGGCACAGCUUAAAUAAUGUAGCCUGGUGGUAUGUGGCCAAGGUAGUAGUACCACUUGAGUUAACGGACGAUCUGGCGAAGUCUGGCGAAGAGCUGGGUAGAUAUACUGCAUGGUCUUGAUUGGUGGAUGGGAAACAGGUGGGUAGCAGCAGAUGAGUAGCAGGUGUGUCAGGUUCUGAUUGGAGGUUCACCGGAGGCUGCACCCCCCUAGCACACAUACACACACAGACAAACACAGGAGGGGAACCAACAAGGGACAAACAGGCAGAGACACUAGGAGGGUUACAACUGUACCAUGACAGGGUGUGUGUCAGGGUGUAAAAGUGGGGUAAAGUCCUGCUUGUCAAGGAUGGAAAAUUUGUUGGUUAGCUCCUUCUGGCUACGAGUGGAGCUAACCAGGGCUUUGGGCUUAGAUCCCAGCUAGGUCCAGUGGUCUGCAGCCUGGACAAUGGCGACAUCCAGACAUGGCACAGUCGAGUCCAGUUCUCCGGCGGUUGUGGUGAAGGUGACAGCGCAGCCCAUGGUAAUCAAGGAGUCGAGGAUCCAUCUUGCAUCUGGUACAGGAUGGAUAUUCUCCCUUCCAGCUCAGAGAUUUUCUGGGUCAGGCGGAGACAGCUGUCGCAUCCAGAUGGUGAGAACUUCUGGACCUGCUCUGCCCUUCGGCCCUGCCUCCUGGACGCCCUCCAGACCUGCUCUGCUCUUCUGUCCAGCCCUCAGGCCAUCCACCUGAGGUCUUCCGCUUGGCCCCUGAAUCCCUCCUGCGGACUCCCUCCACCCACCCUGGGUGGACUUUGCCUGCACCUUGUCGGACUUGUUUGCCUUUCUUGGACUGCCUUCCCGAUUUUGACCACUGCCUGCCUGAUUUCCAUGUAAGCCUUUUGUUUAUCAUUAAAUGGUUAAAACUACA